UAAACACAAAAUAUCUUAUAAUGAAUAUAUGGAAAGCUUACAUUUUUGGGAAGAUGAUUUGAAAACAUUGGAAGAGAAUACCUAAAAAAUAAAAUAAAAUUAUGAAAAAUAAGAUAAAAAUUAAAAUCAUAUUUGGGUAAACUUCUAAUGAAAUAUGCUUAAAAGUCAAGGCUAGUAGACUUCAUUUGAAGUCUACCAGCCGUAAGUUUUAACUAUAUUUCAAAUGAAGUCCACUCUAUAAAAAAAAUAGAUCUGGAAAUAAAUAUAUUAAAAAUAUGAAAUAAGUCUAAAUCUAAAAAACUUUUAAAAAUAUGAUUUAAUAGAUAAAAUAGUUAUAAAUUAAAGACAUAUUAAUAUGAAUUUUAAUAUGUAACUUUAUUUGAAUAUAAAUACUAGAACACAAAUAUGCUUCCCGAUAUGCUUCUCGGACUUCAACAUCAUUCAUGUUCCACG
This 453-nucleotide long non-coding RNA is filed under the name Brassica rapa (field mustard). RNAcentral describes it as "long non-coding RNA (BRAP_LNC002475)". The record is from RNAcentral. Lineage: Eukaryota; Viridiplantae; Streptophyta; Magnoliopsida; Brassicales; Brassicaceae.